RNAcentral lists this transfer RNA (75 nucleotides) under Chloroflexota bacterium. RNAcentral's name for it is "Chloroflexi bacterium tRNA-Glu". It matches the Rfam family "tRNA". Rfam says of the family: Transfer RNA (tRNA) molecules are approximately 80 nucleotides in length. RNAcentral also lists the same sequence under 1 other name. Lineage: Bacteria; Bacillati; Chloroflexota. The record is from RNAcentral.
GCCCCCAUCGUCUAGCGGUCAGGACGGCACCCUUUCAAGGUACAAACAGGGGUUCGACUCCCCUUGGGGGCACCA